RNAcentral lists this ribosomal RNA (411 nucleotides) under Acinetobacter sp. oral taxon C51. RNAcentral's name for it is "bacterial SSU rRNA". It matches the Rfam family "Bacterial small subunit ribosomal RNA", at positions 30 to 442 of the family's 1533-position model. Lineage: Bacteria; Pseudomonadati; Pseudomonadota; Gammaproteobacteria; Moraxellales; Moraxellaceae. The record is from RNAcentral.
AUUGAACGCUGGCGGCAGGCUUAACACAUGCAAGUCGAGCGGAGCGAGGGUGCUUGCACCUUAGCUUAGCGGCGGACGGGUGAGUAAUGCUUAGGAGUCUGCCUAUUAGUGGGGGACAACAUUCCGAAAGGGAUGCUAAUACCGCAUACGCCCUACGGGGGAAAGCAGGGGAUCUUCGGACCUUGCGCUAAUAGAUGAGCCUAAGUCGGAUUAGCUAGUUGGUGGGGUAAAGGCCUACCAAGGCGACGAUCUGUAGCGGGUCUGAGAGGAUGAUCCGCCACACUGGGAUGAGACACGGCCCAGACUCCUACGGGAGGCAGCAGUGGGGAAUAUUGGACAAUGGGGGGAACCCUGAUCCAGCCAUGCCGCGUGUGUGAAGAAGGCCUUUUGGUUGUAAAGCACUUUAAGCGA